CCUACGGGGGGCAGCAGUGAGGAAUAUUGGUCAAUGGGCGUAAGCCUGAACCAGCCAAGUCGCGUGAGGGAUGAAGGUUCUAUGGAUCGUAAACCUCUUUUGUCAGGGAACAAAGGCGGGGACGCGUCCCCGGAUGAGUGUACCUGAAGAAAAAGCAUCGGCUAACUCCGUGCCAGCAGCCGCGGUAAUACGGAGGAUGCGAGGUUUACCCGGUUUUAUUGGGUUUAAAGGGUGCGCAGGCGGUCGGUUAAGUAAGCGGUCAAAGCCCGGGGCCCAACCCCGGCCCGCCGUUGAAACUGGCAGUCUCGAGUUGGAGAGAAGUAUGCGGAAUGCGCGGUGUAGCGGUGAAAUGCAUAGAUAUCGCGCAGAACUCCGAUUGCGAAGGCAGCAUGCCGGCUCCACACUGACGCUGAGGCACGAAAGCGUGGUAUCGAACAGGAUUAGAUACCCUUGUAGUC
RNAcentral lists this ribosomal RNA (458 nucleotides) under uncultured bacterium. RNAcentral describes it as "partial 16S ribosomal RNA". It matches the Rfam family "Bacterial small subunit ribosomal RNA", at positions 338 to 795 of the family's 1533-position model. The record is from RNAcentral.